CAGUAGCCGCGGUAAUACAGAGGAUGCAAGCGUUAUCCGGAAUGAUUGGGCGUAAAGCGACUGUAGGUGGCUUUUCAAGUCCGCUGUCAAAUCCCAGGGCUCAACCCUGGACAUGCGGUCGAGACUACCAAGCUAGAGUACGGUAGAGGCUGAUAGAAUUUCCGGUGUAGCGGUGAAAUGCGUUGAGAUCGGAAAGAAUACCAACGGCGAAGGCAGUCAGCUGGGCUAACACUGACACUGAGAUACGAAAGCUAGGGGAGCAAAUGGGAUUAGAGACCCCUGUAGUCCCUGUCUCUUAUAC
Molecule: ribosomal RNA, 301 nt
Filed under: uncultured bacterium
Lineage: Bacteria
Description: partial 16S ribosomal RNA
Rfam family: Bacterial small subunit ribosomal RNA
Source: RNAcentral